Long non-coding RNA from Neofelis nebulosa (Clouded leopard), 2443 nucleotides. RefSeq lists it as uncharacterized. Lineage: Eukaryota; Metazoa; Chordata; Mammalia; Carnivora; Felidae. The transcript has 4 exons. The record is from RefSeq and is a predicted model, not a curated record.
CCCUCUCUUUACCAGUUUCAGCUUAUUUUCUAGCAUUCUUCAAAAGUGACCAAUGAGAGCUGUGUGUGUGUUUAAACUGUUUAUUUUGAUCUCAUGGAUUUAAAAAAUAUUUGGACCUCGAGCUGGUAAGUCAGAUGGAUGUAGGUUUGCAUCCCAACUCUGCCCUGUUACACCAGGAAGAAUUUUCCCUCCUUUCUUCCCAUGAUUAAAUCCUGGUGACCUUUAGCUCUCCUCCACAAUAAGACUUUCUCUUAACUCUCCUGACCAGGUUAAAACCUCUCAAAUGCACAAUUUCACAUUCAUUUGUGUGGAUGUUGGCUUAAUGCCUGAUUUCUUUGCUAGACUGUAAGUUCCCUAUGGGCACGGACCAUGUUUUGUGUUAACUAACCAUCAGAUCCCCAUUAUGAGGGUGUCUGUAAAUAUUUGUUCAUUGAAUGUUGAAAAACUUGGCUAAAUUAAUCUCUCUGAGCUUUAGUUUUCUCAUCUUUCAAAUAGGGGUGAUAAUACCGAUGUCACAAUACUGAUGUUAUGUGAAGAUUAAGUGAGACAAUGGGUGCAAGAUACCUGGUCUAUCAUAAGUAUUCUCAAGUGGUAGCCGCUUUACUACUGUUUCGUAUCUGAUGACCUUGGACACUACGCUCCUGUCAUGAAUUACUUGGCUGACACCUCUGAUUGUAUUGCUUGGGAAUCAAUUAUGAAAAAGACAUCCCGUACGUGUCCCUGUCACCGCAUUUACAUUUACCGCAGUGUUUAUAUCUGCUGACUUCACUGAACUGUGAGCACCCGGAAGAAGUGAGUCACUAGGUCCAGCCCCCUAUCAGUGGGAGGGGAUGAUACAGAAUGUGAAUGUCAGGAGGCAGGAGCCAUUUGAGAAGCUGCCUACCAUCACAGCAUGAGAAGAUGCUUUCAGGAAAAAAGCGACUAUUUGACCCAGCAGAGAGCAUUUUCCCGAUGUAGGGGUGAUGUGCAGCAAUUAGCUUGUUUUGGUCUGGGAUGACUGACAGCGAUUCCAUGGAUUGUUUUGUGAUAUUAGACAAAGGUUCUCGGGGCAAAAUGUGAUUAGAAUAUGUUCAACUUGAUGACAUGUAUGUUAAGCCUGUUGGCACGUAGCAGCCAAUUUCAUUGUAUGACCUACUGGCUAGAGACAUCGAGAGUAAGAGUCAAAUCAUUUGGAGAAGAGUUGUUUAGUGAGUUAGAAUGAAUGGAGUCUUUAGUGAGUGUCCGCAUCAAAUUCUGUCCCAGUUUGUUGCUUGUCAUGCCCUAUUCUCCAUCUGGGAUGCCCAAGGCACUCUUUUUCAGGACAUUUGACCUACAAGUCAUAUUUCAGAAACUACUGAUUUGGUGCUUGCUGAUGGAGUUUAGACUCUGAGGAGUCUGCCUGCUGGAUUACGUACAGACUAAUGACCCAUCAGAUGCUAAAGGCAAAAGCUUAAAGUGCACUUGUGAAUUAAACCACAGUAUUGUCAGAAAGGAAGAAUUUAUUAUGUCAUUAAAUUUAAUUCAAUAAGUUUUGCUUCUUUAGAUGCACUGCACUGAGGGAAAAGUAAGAAAUUAAUUUUAAACAAGUGUUAUUUUUCUUCUGCUUAUCCAGGUAAAGGAUAUUCAUGUGAAAGAGACAGAAUAUUUUACCGAGAUUUUUAAAAAAGCCAUUACAACAAAUGAUAAAUUGUGAAAACUGGGCAUGGCUGCCUAGCCAGGCAUGAACUUCUAAGAUCAGAGACUAUGUGCUUCAGUUAGUAAACACAGAGGAAAAUCAACCUUGCCUAAUUUAAUGACACCCUGGGUGAAGUUUUCAGGCUUUGCAUAAAAAUCACAGAGGCUCAUUGAUACAAAGAUGUCAGCAGUAAUUGUGGUUGAUGCUUAGAGUUUAAUCUGAAAGUUAGGAUGGGCAGAAAAUGAAAAUCAAGAUGGAGAAUUUUUGCUUCAAAUCUAGAAAUUAUUAUGAUAUGAAGAAAAUUCUAAUAGGUUAAAUAUUAGAAUAAAACUUAGAAGUGUAAAAUAUGUGGCAUUGAAUCUUUCUACAUACAUCUCAUGAUUGCUUUAGAGCAACAGAGAAAAUGUUGAUAAAUAGUAACUUAAAGGUAAGUGAGGAAGUUGCUGAGUGCACCUUUUGUCAUUUACCAAUCAAAACAAUACGAUGAUCUUACAGGGGGUCUAGAAUGAAGUCCAGUGAUAAAUACAAAAAUUAGACUUUCCAUUGUAUUGAUAGUGCUCAUUCUAAUAAGUGAGAGACUUUUAGUAUUUGUAUUCUAGGUAAUAAAUUUUCUAUUAGUAACUAUUAUGUUAGUGGAAUAAAAGCAAGAGUGCAAAUCCUCAAAGAACAGAUUCUGGUCAUUGUUUUAAUUCAAUAAAUUCCAUAGCAAAUGGUUUAUGUCAAGUAAGAGAAAAAAAAAAACAGUUGACCAUUGAACAACACAGGGGGGUAGGGGUACCCAUGCCCUGG